AGGACGAACGCUGGCGGCGUGCUUAACACAUGCAAGUCGAGCGGAAAGGCCCUUCGGGGUACUCGAGCGGCGAACGGGUGAGUAACACGUGAGUAAUCUGCCCCUAGCUCUGGGAUAGCUCCGGGAAACCGGGAUUAAUACCAGAUACGACCACUUUAGACAUCUUCUGUGGUGGAAAGAACUUCGGCUAGGGAUGAACUCGCGGCCUAUCAGCUUGUUGGUGAGGUAACGGCUCACCAAGGCGACGACGGGUAGCCGGCCUGAGAGGGCGACCGGCCACACUGGGACUGAGACACGGCCCAGACUCCUACGGGAGGCAGCAGUGGGGAAUAUUGCGCAAUGGGCGAAAGCCUGACGCAGCGACGCCGCGUGGGGAUGAAGGCCUUCGGGUUGUAAACCCCUUUCAGCAGGGACGAAGCGAAAGUGACGGUACCUGCAGAAGAAGCGCCGGCUAACUACGUGCCAGCAGCCGC
This 473-nucleotide ribosomal RNA is filed under the name uncultured bacterium. Its description in RNAcentral is "SSU rRNA". It matches the Rfam family "Bacterial small subunit ribosomal RNA", at positions 26 to 518 of the family's 1533-position model. The record is from RNAcentral.